GGGUUGUGAGGUUAAGCGACUAAGCGUACACGGUGGAUGCCCUGGCAGUCAGAGGCGAUGAAGGACGUGCUAAUCUGCGAUAAGCGUCGGUAAGGUGAUAUGAACCGUUAUAACCGGCGAUUUCCGAAUGGGGAAACCCAGUGUGAUUCGUCACACUAUCAUUAACUGAAUCCAUAGGUUAAUGAGGCGAACCGGGGGAACUGAAACAUCUAAGUACCCCGAGGAAAAGAAAUCAACCGAGAUUCCCCCAGUAGCGGCGAGCGAACGGGGAGCAGUCCAGAGCCUGAAUCAGUGUGUGUGUUAGUGGAAGCGUCUGGAAAGGCGCGCGAUACAGGGUGACAGCCCCGUACACAAAAAU
Molecule: ribosomal RNA, 358 nt
Filed under: Escherichia coli
Lineage: Bacteria; Pseudomonadati; Pseudomonadota; Gammaproteobacteria; Enterobacterales; Enterobacteriaceae
Description: partial 23S ribosomal RNA
Rfam family: Bacterial large subunit ribosomal RNA
Source: RNAcentral